AACGAACGCUGGCGGCAUGCCUAACACAUGCAAGUCGAACGAGACCUUCGGGUCUAGUGGCGCACGGGUGCGUAACGCGUGGGAAUCUGCCCUUGGGUUCGGAAUAACAGUGAGAAAUUACUGCUAAUACCGGAUGAUGUCUUCGGACCAAAGAUUUAUUGCCCAAGGAUGAGCCCGCGUAGGAUUAGCUAGUUGGUGGGGUAAUGGCCUACCAAGGCGACGAUCCUUAGCUGGUCUGAGAGGAUGAUCAGCCACACUGGGACUGAGACACGGCCCAGACUCCUACGGGAGGCAGCAGUGGGGAAUAUUGGACAAUGGGCGAAAGCCUGAUCCAGCAAUGCCGCGUGAGUGAUGAAGGCCUUAGGGUUGUAAAGCUCUUUUACCAGGGAUGAUAAUGACAGUACCUGGAGAAUAAGCUCCGGCUAACUCCGUGCCAGCAGCCGCAGUAA
Molecule: ribosomal RNA, 449 nt
Filed under: uncultured bacterium
Lineage: Bacteria
Description: partial 16S ribosomal RNA
Rfam family: Bacterial small subunit ribosomal RNA
Source: RNAcentral